UAGGGAAUAUUGCGCAAUGGGGGAAACCCUGACGCAGCGAUGCCGCGUGAGUGAAGAAGGCCUUAGGGUUGUAAAACUCCUUCAGUGGUGAAGAUAAUGACGGUAACCACAGAAGAAGCUCCGGCUAACUCCGUGCCAGCAGCCGCGGUAAUACGGAGGGGGCUAACGUAGUUCGGAAUUACUGGGCGUAAAGCGCGCGUAGGCGGAUUAGACAGUUGAGGGUGAAAUCCCGGAGCUUAACUUCGGAACUGCCCCCAAUACUACUAAUCUAGAGUUCGGAAGAGGUUGAGUGGAAUUCCUAGUGUAGAGGUGAAAUUCGUAGAUAUUAGGAAGAACACCAGAGGCGAAGGCGGCUCACUGGUCCGAUACUGACGCUAAGGUGCGAAAGCGUGGGUAGCAAACAGGAUUAGAUACCCUGGUAGUCCACGCCGUAAACGAUGGAGCUAGUUGUUGGACGGUUUACUGUUCAGUGACACAGCUAACGCAUUAAGCUUCCCGCCUGGGGAGUACGAUCGCAAGAUUA
RNAcentral lists this ribosomal RNA (523 nucleotides) under uncultured marine bacterium. RNAcentral describes it as "bacterial SSU rRNA". It matches the Rfam family "Bacterial small subunit ribosomal RNA", at positions 355 to 896 of the family's 1533-position model. The record is from RNAcentral.